GAUGAACGCUAGCGGCAGGCCUAACACAUGCAAGUCGAGGGGUAGCAGGAUUAAGCUUGCUUAAUUGCUGACGACCGGCGCACGGGUGCGUAACGCGUAUGCAACCUACCUUAUACUGGGGUAUAGCCCGGAGAAAUUCGGAUUAAUCCCCCAUAGUACUAAUGAAUCGCAUGGUUUAUUAGUUAAAGCAUUGCGGUAUAAGAUGGGCAUGCGUCCUAUUAGCUAGAUGGUGAGGUAACGGCUCACCAUGGCUACGAUAGGUAGGGGGCCUGGGGGGGUGGUCCCCCACACGGGUCCUGGGACACGGACCAGACUCCUACGGGAGGCAGCAGUGGGGAGUAUUGGGCAAUGGGCGCAAGCCUGAACCAGCCAUGCCGCGUGCAGGAAGAAUGCCCUAUGGGUUGUAAACUGCUUUUAUUUGGGAAUAAACCUCUUUACGUGUAGAGAGCUGAAGGUACCAAAUGAAUAAGCACCGGCUAACUCCGUGCCAGCCGCCGCGGUAA
This 503-nucleotide ribosomal RNA is filed under the name uncultured bacterium. RNAcentral's name for it is "partial 16S ribosomal RNA". It matches the Rfam family "Bacterial small subunit ribosomal RNA", at positions 28 to 523 of the family's 1533-position model. The record is from RNAcentral.